ACUCCUACGGGAGGCAGCAGUGGGGAAUUUUGGACAAUGGGCGAAAGCCUGAUCCAGCAAUGCCGCGUGCAGGAUGAAGGCCUUCGGGUUGUAAACUGCUUUUGUACGGAACGAAAAAGCUCCUUCUAAUACAGGGGGCCCAUGACGGUACCGUAAGAAUAAGCACCGGCUAACUACGUGCCAGCAGCCGCGGUAAUACGUAGGGUGCGAGCGUUAAUCGGAAUUACUGGGCGUAAAGCGUGCGCAGGCGGUUAUGUAAGACAGAUGUGAAAUCCCCGGGCUCAACCUGGGAACUGCAUUUGUGACUGCAUGGCUAGAGUACGGUAGAGGGGGAUGGAAUUCCGCGUGUAGCAGUGAAAUGCGUAGAUAUGCGGAGGAACACCGAUGGCGAAGGCAAUCCCCUGGACCUGUACUGACGCUCAUGCACGAAAGCGUGGGGAGCAAACAGGAUUAGAAACCCCAGUAGUCCCAUGA
Molecule: ribosomal RNA, 474 nt
Filed under: uncultured organism
Description: partial 16S ribosomal RNA
Rfam family: Bacterial small subunit ribosomal RNA
Source: RNAcentral